Molecule: ribosomal RNA, 445 nt
Filed under: uncultured bacterium
Lineage: Bacteria
Description: partial 16S ribosomal RNA
Rfam family: Bacterial small subunit ribosomal RNA
Source: RNAcentral
GUGAGGAAUAUUGCGCAAUGGAGGCAACUCUGACGCAGCCAUGCCGCGUGCAGGAAGAAGGCGCUACGCGUUGUAAACUGCUUUUAACCGGGAAGAAACCCCAGGACGUGUCCUGGGUUGACGGUACCGGAGGAAUAAGCACCGGCUAACUUCGUGCCAGCAGCCGCGGUAAUACGAAGGGUGCAAGCGUUAUCCGGAUUCAUUGGGUUUAAAGGGUGGGUAGGCGGAGCGUUAAGUCAGUGGUGAAAUCCUGCAGCUUAACUGUAGACUUGCCAUUGAUACUGGCGCUCUUGAGUGCGCUUGAAGUGGGCGGAAUGUGCCGUGUAGCGGUGAAAUGCUUAGAUAUGGCACAGAACACCAAUUGCGAAGGCAGCUCACUAAGGCGAUACUGACGCUGAGGCACGAAAGCGUGGGGAUCGAACAGGAUUAGAUACCCCAGUAGUCC